This is a long non-coding RNA of Pomacea canaliculata, 984 nucleotides long. RefSeq lists it as uncharacterized. The transcript is spliced from 3 exons. Lineage: Eukaryota; Metazoa; Mollusca; Gastropoda; Architaenioglossa; Ampullariidae. The record is from RefSeq and is a predicted model, not a curated record.
AAAAAAGCGGUACAGCAAGGACAUAUCUGAAGGUUUCAGAGAUGGCAAACAAUGAUCGGAGGAAAGAUUUCAUAAACGACAGGAGAGGACGAGUUCGUGCUCGGCCGCCACAAGCUGAAGCUCAGGCCGCCAAUUUGGGGCAGCAAGCCCCCCCGCCACGUCCCCCGCUAAUUGGACAGGCCGCCAAUUUGGGGCAGCAAUUCCACCCGCUACCUCCCCCGCAGCCGGCAGAGAGAAGAAACAAUCCCCCUCUCGCAUUAAAUCAUACAAUGAAUCAACAAAUCUCCAUCAGCAUCAACUUCAACAAUCUAUAUGUCAUCAAUCGACCACCAGUCAACCAUCAAUCAUUAAUCAUUUCCAUCAUCGUCAUCGCCGUCGUCAUCAUCUACAUCAUCUAUCAAUCAUUAUCAGUCAUAAUCAUCAAUCAUCAUUAAUCAUCAUCAUAAAUCAAUCAUAAUCAUAAUCAUCAAUCAUCAUUAAUCAUCAUCAUCAUCAUCAUAAAUCAAUCAUAAUCAUCAUCACCAUCAUCAUCAUGCACGAGGGUAUGCUGUUUUAACCUCCUGCCAGGUGUGUAUAUUUCCACAAUGUUUAUUUUUACAAUGUGUAUUUAUUAGCAAUAAAUAGGGGAAGUAUUUAUAUAAUUAUAAUAAACACGGUAUUCAUCAGCAGUAGUAACAUGUGUGGUGUGUUAGAGCAGUGGUUCUCAAAGUGUGGUCCGUGGGCAUAAGUCAGGUGGUCCGCGGCUGACAGUCGUCAUAUGUCAGCAAAGUGAUGUUUAAAGUGAUGCAUUCCUCGCAUUAACAUUUUAAGUACAAAGAACGGGAUUUGUAUUCGAUCAUGAAAACACUGGGUGAAAAGUCCAAGAUGGCGACAACAUCACCUGAUGAUAGAGCCAAAGAGCUGGAAUGUCCGGUGUGCAACAAUCACUUUAUCAUGCCCAAGAGUUUACCCUGUGGUCGUCUUGUCUGUAGACACUGCAUUAUA